Molecule: ribosomal RNA, 336 nt
Filed under: Triticum aestivum (bread wheat)
Lineage: Eukaryota; Viridiplantae; Streptophyta; Magnoliopsida; Poales; Poaceae
Description: partial small subunit ribosomal RNA
Source: RNAcentral
AUGCUGAGUCACCCUAAGGAUGCGAGCCAGUGGCAAGCGUUGAACUUCGAAUACCCAGAAUUUGGGAUGGAUCCAAGGAACAUCGUGCUGGGUGCGAGCACUGAUGGAGUCAAUCAGUUUGGCAGCCAGAGAAGCACACAUAGCACCUGGCUUGUGUUUGUGUGGAUGUACAACCUUCCCCCCUGGUUGUGCAUGAAGAUGAAGUACAUUCACAUGAGUAUGCUAAUUGAAGGGCCGAAACAACCAGGGAACGACAUCAAUCUGUAUCUGGGGCUGCUGAAGGAGGAGCUAGACACGCUGUGCAAAAUGCCAGCCAAUACGUGGGACGCCGCAUAG